This 253-nucleotide ribosomal RNA is filed under the name uncultured bacterium. Its description in RNAcentral is "partial 16S ribosomal RNA". It matches the Rfam family "Bacterial small subunit ribosomal RNA", at positions 524 to 776 of the family's 1533-position model. The record is from RNAcentral.
UACAGAGGUCCCAAGCGUUGUUCGGAUUUACUGGGCGUAAAGGGUGCGUAGGUGGUGAGGUAAGUCGGAUGUGAAAUCUCCAAGCUCAACUUGGAAACGGCAUUGGAAACUACCUUGCUUGAGGGUUUGAGGGGGGACUGGAAUACUUGGUGUAGCAGUGAAAUGCGUAGAUAUCAAGUGGAACACCAGUGGCGAAGGCGAGUCCCUGGAAAAUACCUGACACUGAGGCACGAAAGCUAGGGGAGCAAACAGG